UAAAUUAAAACUUAAAUAAAGUAUUUCAUUUACAUUGAAAGGAAAUUAGAAUAAUUUAAUUAAUUUAA
Molecule: transfer RNA, 68 nt
Filed under: Neptis rivularis
Lineage: Eukaryota; Metazoa; Arthropoda; Insecta; Lepidoptera; Nymphalidae
Description: tRNA-Val
Source: RNAcentral